This 326-nucleotide ribosomal RNA is filed under the name Cyclophora tenuis. Its description in RNAcentral is "partial Bacterial large subunit ribosomal RNA". It matches the Rfam family "Bacterial large subunit ribosomal RNA", at positions 1954 to 2279 of the family's 2925-position model. The record is from RNAcentral. Lineage: Eukaryota; Bacillariophyta; Fragilariophyceae; Cyclophorales; Cyclophoraceae.
AGGUAGCGAAAUUCCUUGUCGGGUAAAUUCCGACCUGCACGAAUGGCGUAACGAAUUCCACACUGUCUCCAAUGCAGACUCAGCGAAACUGAAUUCUCCGUGAAGAUGCGGAGUACCCGCGGUUAGACGGAAAGACCCCGUGCACCUUUACUACAGCUUCGCAGUGGCGUUAGCGACGAUUUGUGUAGGAUAGGCGGGAGACUUUGAAGCCAUGGCGCCAGUCAUGGUGGAGUCAUCCUUGAAAUACCGCCCUGAUCCUUGUUGACGUCUAACCGCGAUCCGUGAACCCGGAUCCGGGACCCUGCGUGGUGGUAGUUUGACUGGGG